This 224-nucleotide microRNA precursor is filed under the name Marmota monax (woodchuck). Lineage: Eukaryota; Metazoa; Chordata; Mammalia; Rodentia; Sciuridae. The record is from RNAcentral.
GCGAGCGCGCUACCGCUUGAGCCACAUCCCCAGCCCUUUUUUUUUUUUUUUGAUGAGGAAAGAUGUUUCUCUUGCUAAUUUAGUGGGAGGAGAUGGAAGGUUAAGUCAUGUAAAUUUUUCGAACAAUUUGCUAGUAUUCUCAAAUAUACUGCAGGCAAAUAUUAUUUGAUACAAAAUGUUAUACUCAGGGGCCGGGGAUGUGGCUCAAGCGGUAGCGCGCUCGC